UGGUGGUUGGAAUUCCUGCAGUGGAAUGAGGAAGCUAAAGUCCAUUAUUUCCAGCCAGGUGCCACCUCAUUUUACACAUACUUCAAGCUACUUGUGGAGGAGCCACCAAAUUCAAAGGAAGAGUUAAACCUGCUGGGGACAGUUCCCGAACCCUACCCAGGACCCUUGAGGAAGAAGAAGACAGCAACAGAUGGGAGGAGGAGAAGGAGCCCUCCCUGCCCUGUGCCCAGGGGCCUGUGCUCCCCUGCCUGUUGAAGUCUCUGCAGCUGGCAGCCCCUGUGGGCUCAACUCUGUGAACACAGAAGCCUGCACCAGGCACGGAGAGGAGGGAGCAGCCUCCGUCCCCAGGGGAACGCAGAACCUGCCUAGAAAGGCAAGAAGGUCCAAAAGAAUUACUCAAGAAGGAAAAGUCCGGUCCAUUUUCCCUCUAACAUGUCCCUAGAAUCCUUCCCCUAUUCUCUCUGCCCCUUGGCCGCAGUCCUGGUUCGGAGAAGGCUUUCUAAACACACCCCUGCUUAAAAUUCUUAAAUGGCUCCCCUUUGCCCACGGCUGGAUCAAGUCCAAAGUCUCCAGUAGGACCAUUCACGGCCUUUCAGAUUCUGGCCUGAGGCUCCCUGUCCGGUUCACCUCCAGCCUCCCCCUCUGCUCCAGCCGCACAGAAGUUUCUGGUCCCCCUCUGGCACCCCCUGCCUUCACACGUGCUCACCUCUGCCUGAAGUGCCCUUCCCGCCCUCCUCCAACCUUGGAGCCGGCCAAACCCAGCUGAAACGACUCCUUCCCUCCUUCCCGGUGAAGUCUUCCAGAAUCCCUCCCCACCAGGGGAUGAAUUAAUGGCCUGGAGCUCUGAGCUCCCUGAGCACUUUGUACGUCCCUCUUAAGCACUUAUCACCCAUGUUGUGAUUACUGUCUCUGUAGCUGCCUCCCUCUCUCGCUCUCCUGCCUCGGAGCCAUCUCACGGUCUCGAGCGCCCAGCACAGCAUCUGGCACAAGGACCAUGGAGAGCAUCCUGUAAGGGAGAAGCCCUCUCCCAAUUGCAAACCAGAACCUUGGCUUGUCUGCAAAGGGUAAGGGAUCAGGAGACCGCAGCUCAUCUUCCCACCCAGUACCUCAGUGCCUGGCCGUGCCAUGCCUGCUGUUCCCUGUGGUUUCUGUGGCGCGUGGGCAGCUGUGGGCAAGGCAAAGGGCCUGGACACCAGUGACUGAGUCUAGAAUGGGCGUUGCUCCUGCCUCUCCGCUGAACUCAAGAGUCCAGAGGCCUUUGUUUCCCCUUGCCCCCUGCCACUUUGCUGCCUUGGGCCAUGGUCACCUCACCAUCACCAUGCACCGGCCUGGGAGGGUUAUUGUGAACCCCACUUGGCAGAUGAAUAAACCGAGCUGCAGAGAAGUAACAUCACGUAUGGAAGGCACACCUCUUCAACAGAGCCAGGAUUUGAACCGAGUUUGCACGAUGGUCUGUGUACAAUUCCUCCUUUAGGCAAUGCGGUCAUUCUGGCUCUGCAUGCCAGCCAGCUGUGCAGCCCUGGACA
Molecule: non-coding RNA, 1526 nt
Organism: Microcebus murinus (gray mouse lemur)
Lineage: Eukaryota; Metazoa; Chordata; Mammalia; Primates; Cheirogaleidae
Source: RefSeq, a predicted model, not a curated record